Molecule: ribosomal RNA, 495 nt
Filed under: uncultured bacterium
Lineage: Bacteria
Description: partial 16S ribosomal RNA
Rfam family: Bacterial small subunit ribosomal RNA
Source: RNAcentral
GACGAACGCUGGCGGCGUGCCUAAUACAUGCAAGUCGAACGCUGAAGGAGGAGCUUGCUCUUCUGGAUGAGUUGCGAACGGGUGAGUAACGCGUAGGUAACCUGCCUUGUAGCGGGGGAUAACUAUUGGAAACGAUAGCUAAUACCGCAUAACAGUAGAUGUUGCAUGACAUUUACUUAAAAGUUGCAAUUGCAUCACUACCAGAUGGACCUGCGUUGUAUUAGCUAGGUGGGGGGGUAACGGCUCACCAAGGCGACGAUACAUAGCCGACCUGAGAAGGCGGUCGGCCACACUGGGACUGGGAACAGGCCCCGACUCCCAAGGGAGGCAGCAGGAGGGGAUUUUCGGCAAUGGACGGAAGGCUGACCGAGGAAAGCCGGGGGAGGGGAGAAGGGUUUCGGAUCGUUAAGCUCUGUUGUAAGAGAAGAAAGAGUGUGAGAGUGGAAAGUUCACACUGUGACGGUAUCUUACCAGAAAGGGACGGCUAACUACGUG